AGAACAGCAGACGUCACUGGUGGCGCCAGACGGGCAUUAUCCUUAAUUUUGACAAGGAGUCUGGCCCACAAAUUAAUUAUCACACCCCAAAGCAUUUAGACAUCCUUGGUCAUAAAAUAUGAAACCAUGAGUAGUUAAGUGAGCAAAUGUGUGCGGCGGUGUUCAGUAUAAACGUUUCGACUUGGUCUAGCUGUUCACUACACGGGAUGCAUGCAGCCCAUGGCUAGGUCUGAGUAUUCUGUGCCGAUUACUUACGCAUCCACAAAAAGAAGAUUGCCGAGAAAAACAUUUUCGUUGCGUCAAUUUUCUUUCAUUCCUGCUUUUGUUGUUGUCUUCCUCCAGAAGCUACUGCCAUAGGGUGAGGAUCUUCGCGACACCUGUGAGGUCUGCUAGCAUUGCUUUACGCGCCUCAAGGAAAACCUGUCUACAUCUAUGAGAAUUGCGAUGAGGUAGUCGAGGCAUUUCUUCAGGAAGAAGAAGCGAUUGAUAUCUUCAACAGGUCGAUCUUGGCCCACGACUGUAAAUGGAAAACCAAAAGUGGCGGUGGCGGUGUUCUCUGUCAGAGAAACAGCAAAAGUACUAUCGCACAACGAAAUAUUGCACAACUGAAGCAUCGCCUGUGCCUCAUGCUGCUGUUUCAUCAAAGAUCAAGGUCAUCGCCCUUGGAGGGACUUUAUGCAUGGCAGCAUGGUUCGAGUUCCACACGGAGAAUCCUGAAGCUAAUUCUUCCAAGGCAGAGCGGGGCAUGCUGAAAGUUAUCAGAAGGCCGAAAGAAUAAAUCGGUGGUUCAUCUGCAUGUACAACCAUCGUCAAGUGUUAUCAUGUACUGUUUUUUGCAGCUGCAUAAUAUUAAACAGUCCGAGUCUGCCCCAGCAGCCCAUAUG
Long non-coding RNA from Rhipicephalus sanguineus (brown dog tick), 884 nucleotides. RefSeq lists it as uncharacterized. The record is from RefSeq and is a predicted model, not a curated record. The transcript has 3 exons. Lineage: Eukaryota; Metazoa; Arthropoda; Arachnida; Ixodida; Ixodidae.